RNAcentral lists this ribosomal RNA (580 nucleotides) under bacterium 62-L049640-122-012-F08. Its description in RNAcentral is "bacterial SSU rRNA". It matches the Rfam family "Bacterial small subunit ribosomal RNA", at positions 60 to 652 of the family's 1533-position model. The record is from RNAcentral.
AGUCGACGCUGAAGCCCCAGCUUGCUGGGGUGGAUGAGUGGCGAACGGGUGAGUAACACGUGAGUAACCUUCCCUUGACUCUGGGAUAAGCCUGGGAAACCGGGUCUAAUACCGGAUGCGACCCCUGACCGCAUGGUGGGGGGUGGAAAGAUUUAUCGGUCUUGGAUGGACUCGCGGCCUAUCAGCUGGUUGGUGGGGUAAUGGCCUACCAAGGCGACGACGGGUAGCCGGCCUGAGAGGGUGACCGGCCACACUGGGACUGAGACACGGCCCAGACUCCUACGGGAGGCAGCAGUGGGGAAUAUUGCACAAUGGGCGCAAGCCUGAUGCAGCGACGCCGCGUGAGGGAUGACGGCCUUCGGGUUGUAAACCUCUUUCAGUAGGGAAGAAGCGAAAGUGACGGUACCUGCAGAAGAAGCGCCGGCUAACUACGUGCCAGCAGCCGCGGUAAUACGUAGGGCGCGAGCGUUAUCCGGAAUUAUUGGGCGUAAAGAGCUCGUAGGCGGUUUGUCGCGUCUGCCGUGAAAGUCCGGGGCUUAACCCCGGAUCUGCGGUGGGUACGGGCAGACUGGAGUGCAGU